AAGGGAAAGCUGUAGCUAAAAGAAGCUGCUAACUAUCUUUUAAAGCGGUUAAAGUCCGUUUUUCCCUUA
This 69-nucleotide transfer RNA is filed under the name Cryptorhamphus sp. Its description in RNAcentral is "tRNA-Ser". The record is from RNAcentral. Lineage: Eukaryota; Metazoa; Arthropoda; Insecta; Hemiptera; Cryptorhamphidae.